Molecule: ribosomal RNA, 372 nt
Filed under: uncultured organism
Description: bacterial SSU rRNA
Rfam family: Bacterial small subunit ribosomal RNA
Source: RNAcentral
CGCAGGGUGCGAGCGUUAAUCGGAAUUACUGGGCGUAAAGCGUGCGCAGGCGGUUUUGUAAGACAGGCGUGAAAUCCCCGGGCUCAACCUGGGAACUGCGCUUGUGACUGCAAGGCUAGAGUACGGCAGAGGGGGGUGGAAUUCCACGUGUAGCAGUGAAAUGCGUAGAGAUGUGGAGGAACACCAAUGGCGAAGGCAGCCCCCUGGGUCGAUACUGACGCUCAUGCACGAAAGCGUGGGUAGCAAACAGGAUUAGAUACCCUGGUAGUCCACGCCCUAAACGAUGUCAACUAGGUGUUGGGUGGGUAAAACCAUUUAGUACCGGAGCUAACGCGUGAAGUUGACCGCCUGGGGAGUACGGCCGCAAGGUUA